Long non-coding RNA from Helianthus annuus (common sunflower), 389 nucleotides. RefSeq lists it as uncharacterized. The record is from RefSeq and is a predicted model, not a curated record. The transcript is spliced from 3 exons. NCBI's taxonomy places the organism in Eukaryota, Viridiplantae, Streptophyta, Magnoliopsida, Asterales, Asteraceae.
AUGGAGAUACCUUCAAUUCAGCCCCUUUUUGUCUAAAUUGAAGAUGGAUUCAUGCUAAAAUUCAUGCUUGUGCUUGAAUUCUUGAUCAUCUAGCCCUAUAAAUCACUUGAAUAGGAAUUUCAUUAGUAAGGACUCAAGCACGGAAGGCUAACGAGUCAAAUGGGGGUAAGAAGACGAGCAUGAACAUGGACGCUAAAGGUCACUCGAACCAUUGUUAUUAUCUAAGGAUAAACGGGUGGAGAUCGAGCUAAAGAGCUUGGACUGUAUGGAAAAAGGUUGUCACCUAUACAUAUUUGAAUGAUUUAAUCAUUAUGAUAAUUACCUAUGAUUGAUGUAAAUUCUUUUAAAGAAGUGGUUUUUAUGGUUACGAUUGUUUAAUUCAUUUGUGA